This 600-nucleotide ribosomal RNA is filed under the name Escherichia coli. Its description in RNAcentral is "bacterial SSU rRNA". It matches the Rfam family "Bacterial small subunit ribosomal RNA", at positions 41 to 632 of the family's 1533-position model. Lineage: Bacteria; Pseudomonadati; Pseudomonadota; Gammaproteobacteria; Enterobacterales; Enterobacteriaceae. The record is from RNAcentral.
GGGGGGCGCUACCAUGCAGUCGAACGGUAACAGGAAGCAGCUUGCUGCUUUGCUGACGAGUGGCGGACGGGUGAGUAAUGUCUGGGAAACUGCCUGAUGGAGGGGGAUAACUACUGGAAACGGUAGCUAAUACCGCAUAACGUCGCAAGACCAAAGAGGGGGACCUUCGGGCCUCUUGCCAUCGGAUGUGCCCAGAUGGGAUUAGCUAGUAGGUGGGGUAAAGGCUCACCUAGGCGACGAUCCCUAGCUGGUCUGAGAGGAUGACCAGCCACACUGGAACUGAGACACGGUCCAGACUCCUACGGGAGGCAGCAGUGGGGAAUAUUGCACAAUGGGCGCAAGCCUGAUGCAGCCAUGCCGCGUGUAUGAAGAAGGCCUUCGGGUUGUAAAGUACUUUCAGCGGGGAGGAAGGGAGUAAAGUUAAUACCUUUGCUCAUUGACGUUACCCGCAGAAGAAGCACCGGCUAACUCCGUGCCAGCAGCCGCGGUAAUACGGAGGGUGCAAGCGUUAAUCGGAAUUACUGGGCGUAAAGCGCACGCAGGCGGUUUGUUAAGUCAGAUGUGAAAUCCCCGGGCUCAACCUGGGAACUGCAUCUGAUA